Molecule: long non-coding RNA, 1061 nt
Filed under: Trifolium pratense (red clover)
Lineage: Eukaryota; Viridiplantae; Streptophyta; Magnoliopsida; Fabales; Fabaceae
Description: long non-coding RNA (TPRA_LNC003714)
Source: RNAcentral
GUUUUGAUUAAAUCGGAAUUUUACCCCCUCUGUUUUAAACCGCGGACUUUUACCCCCUGUUUUAUAAUUUUUUGGAUUUUGCCCGCCUAAAAUUCUGCUUUCAAGUCACAACUUCAAAGCUUCGCACACAACUCAAUUUGAAUCAAUAAUUCACCAAACAGAUAUCGAAAUGACCGUAAUCGAGUUAUCUUUCCAGAGAAUCAAACCCCACUAAAUUUGGAGUUACAAAGAGAGAUUAAUUACCGUUUUAGUGAAGGUAUGUCCCCCAAAAUUCUGCACAAAAUCUGCUUUCGAGUCACAACUUCAAAGUUUCGCAUACAACUCAAUUUGAAUCAAUAAUNNNNNNNNNNNNNNNNNNNNNNNNUAAAUUUGGAGUUACAAAGAGAGAUUAAUUACCGUUUUAGUGAAGGUAUGUCCCCCAAAUAUUCUGCACAAAAUCUGCUUUCGAGUCACAACUUCAAAACUUCGCACAGAAUUCCAUUUCGAUCCAUAAUUCACCAAACAAGUACCGAAAUGACCGAAAUCGAGUUAGUUUUCCACAGAAUCAAACUCCACAAAAUUUGGAGUUACAGAGAGAGAUUAAUUAUUAUUUUAGUGAAGGUCUAUCCAAAUCAAUUAAUGUAUGGAACUACUACUGGUAUUUUUGUCAUGUCUCUCACACUGUGGCUCAUUUUUCAAUAGUAUUUACAUUUCCGGAAAGCUAACUAAAUUACCCUUGUUGUCAUUUAAAUUUCGUCAAAUUUGGAGUUACGAUGUGUUUGGUAGACGAUAUUGAAUUUAAAGGUCAUAAGUAGAUUUCUGCAAAAUUAGUAAUUAGACAGACCUUCACUAAAACUGUAAUUAAUCUCUCUUUGUAACUCCAAAUUUAGUGGGGUUUAAUCCUGUGGAAAGCUAACUCGAUUAUGGUCAUUUCGGUAUCCAUUUGGUGAAUUAUUGAUCCAAAUUGAGUUGUGUGGGAAGCUUUGAAGUUGUGCCUCGAAAGCAGAUUUUGUGCAGAAUUUUGGGGGACAUACCUUCACUAAAACGGUAAUUAAUCUCUCAUUGUAACUCCAAAUUUAGUN